This is a long non-coding RNA of Phacochoerus africanus (Common warthog), 810 nucleotides long. RefSeq lists it as uncharacterized. Lineage: Eukaryota; Metazoa; Chordata; Mammalia; Artiodactyla; Suidae. The transcript is spliced from 2 exons. The record is from RefSeq and is a predicted model, not a curated record.
CCUCACCCUCGGCCGCCUGCAAAGUCUGCAGGAGCUGGCGCGCUUCCUCCUCCUCCUCUUCGGCCGCCGCCGCCGCCGCCACCGCCUCCCCCCCAGCCGCCGGCCCCGCGCUCGGCUCCGAAGGCAAGGGCCUCAGUUUCCCCAUCGGGACAACGGAGAAGGUAACGGGCCGUCCGGGAGGGCUAAGGGCGCGAAGCCACCUCCGCCCUGAGACUGAGCUUCUGCAUGCCUCCGUCUCCAGGGUCCUCCGAAGGCCCCCCUUACUCCUCAUCUCGGCCCGCGCUCCGCCCCUCGGAAUUCCCGGCUCCGCAGGGGGGCGGGUCUGGCUGGGAGAAGGGGCGGGGAAAACGGGCUAGAAAGUUUGCAGCAACUUUUCUUGAGCUUAGGUCCCUGGAACGGAUGCGCGUGGCCCGCGCAGGCGCAGUGGCAGGAGGAUGGCCGCGCGCGCCGCCCGCCCAGCCCCCUUCUUCGCGGCGGUCUAGUGGCACAGCUGGGCCACAGCUGGACAAGGGGCGGUGCCUUCGAGUGGCCCGCUCCUCUUCUUCUAUUGGCCGGAGGUCGAAGCCACACCCUCAUCCCUACCCCCACCCCUGAUUCGUCCGCUUCGUCUCCCGCUAGCUUCCUGCCAGGCCAUUGGCCGCCUCCACUCGCCUGGCCGGAUUGGCCCACUGAGUAGCCUCCUGCCCUCCUUGCAAACAGAGCCGGCACGAAGUUCGAGCAUUCUGGGCAGACGAAAGGGCCUUUUAUUUGCGAGGAUCGGGGGUGGGGUCCUAGGUGGGGAAAGACAAUAAAUACCGAGGAAUGUCGGGG